Molecule: unclassified non-coding RNA, 1523 nt
Filed under: Hevea brasiliensis (rubber tree)
Lineage: Eukaryota; Viridiplantae; Streptophyta; Magnoliopsida; Malpighiales; Euphorbiaceae
Source: RNAcentral
AAAAAAAAAAAAAAAAAAAAGCCAAAAAACAUCAUAUCGCAAGAGGGCCAGCAUUCUAAACACAUGUAAAUAAAUUCAAUUCAAAGAUGACACAUAACGCAAUAAACGCAUUCCCGCAGCCAAAGAACUCCAGAGAAUACUCCACUACAUGAUUUGGCAAAAGAUUGCAUACGAGGACCCAAUAAUUGUUCAGUACAUGUCAUGUCCUUUGAACCUCGAAUUACUUCCUCUAUUGAACAGCUCGAAAAUAUCACUGAAAUGCAACUUCUGGUUUCAUCCACUUGCACAUCCAAGGAUUUCAAUUCUUGUCCUUAAUAUCGCCUCUUCCGUUUUUUCAGUCUUCCAGUUGCACUGCUACCAUUAUUGAAGUUUUUUGUUUGAUCACCAGUAUCACCUUCCAAGGGUAAGGUUUUAAUUUCAUCAAAGAAACCAUCAGUCAAAGCAAGCAAUCCAUCUCUUGAUUUCUUUAAAUGCUUCUCCUUCUUCUUCUCCAUCUUUGUAACAGGAGCACGUGUAAAGAGCUCCUCUUCUCGUUGGGCACGUUCUUCCCAUUGCUGCUGAUAUCUAAUAAAUUCCCUACUCUCAUUUCCAACAUUUUCUCUGACCUCUUCAGGUCUUCCCUCCAAAUCAUCUAUCAAGUCUUUCAUAUAGCCCUCCUUAGCUCGUCGCUGAGUCUCUUUCUCCCUUCUCAAGGCAUUUCUUUCCUGUUUUGACAUCUUAUCCUCCUCCAUGAGAGUGGGAGCAAUUUUUGGUGGUCGAUACACAGCAUUACCAUCCUCAGCCAUCAUAUCAGAUCUGCUGACCAACAUUUCUGGGUUUGGAUGAUAUUUCAACAAAUCCUCCGAUUUCUCAGUUGCCUCUGAUUCCUUUUCCUUCAGAUUUAGUUGCUCCGCUGCACGCCCAAUAUCCCUGGUGAGCUUUUGAACUUGGUAUUCCAUUUUUUGGUCAAUUGGCCGAAUCUUCUCCAAAAACAACCGAAUCUCUAUAAGGCUCUGAACUACAGGAUGUUUCUCAAUUGACAAGCCUUUUGCCUUGCGAAGCGAAUAAUAUACAAGUGAUUGGCAAUAGUUUAGGAGCAGCAAAUGUUUAGCCUCAAGAUAGCUUAUUCCGCCUGCUGUUGGAAAGUCAUUUGCUUUCACCUUAGCAGUUAAAGCCUGCACCUUACUUGUCACUGUAUCCAACACUCCUUUCAUUUCUUUCAGCAGUGCAGCUAAUUGAGGAGCCUCCUUCUUUAUGCUUCGAUCAAGGUCCAAAUUCUUAGUCUCCUCCAUCAUUUUCUUAGUUAAUCACCAACACCAAUACUGCAUUCAAUCAACUAUAUAGCCUUUAGUAGAAAAAUUGCAACUCUGAGAAGACGUCCCAAAUAUUCCUCUCCUUAAGACCUCAGAAGAAGAUACAGUACGUCUCAGAGAAGAAACGUUUGAACAAGUUCAUGUGUGUUGGGCGGCGUAAGAGAGCACCUGUUGGUGUGCCGACCAGAUUGAGGGCUUGUUGGUUCAGAGAAACUCGAACGGGAUAAGGGC